GACGAACGCUGGCGGCGUGCUUAACACAUGCAAGUCGAACGGUAAUGCCCUGCUUUUGUGGGUUGCUCGAGUGGCGCACGUGUGAGUAACACGUGAGUAACCUGCCCUUGACUUUGGUAUAACUUCAGGAACCUGUGUCUUAUACCGUAUAGGUUCUCCUGCUGCAUGGUGGGGUUUGGAAAGUUUUGGCGGUUGGGGAUGGACUCGCGGCUUAUCAGCUUGUUGGUGGGGUAGUGGCUUACCAAGGCUUUGACGGGUAGCCGGCCUGAGAGGGUGACCGGCAACAUUGGGACGGAGAUACGGCCCAGACUCCUACGGGAGGCAGAAGUGGGGAAUAUGGAAAAAUGGGCGGAAGCCUGAGGCAGGAACGCCGCGUGCGGGAUAACGGCCUUCGGGUGUUAAACCGCUUUCGCCUGGGACGAAGCGUGAGUGACGGUAAUGGGUAAAGAAGCACCGGCUAACUACGUG
RNAcentral lists this ribosomal RNA (468 nucleotides) under uncultured bacterium. RNAcentral describes it as "partial 16S ribosomal RNA". It matches the Rfam family "Bacterial small subunit ribosomal RNA", at positions 28 to 507 of the family's 1533-position model. The record is from RNAcentral.